AUUGAACGCUGGCGGCAGGCCUAACACAUGCAAGUCGAGCGGAUGAAGGGAGCUUGCUCCUGUAUUCAGCGGCGGACGGGUGAGUAAUGCCUAGGAAUCUGCCUGGUAGUGGGGGAUAACGUCCGGAAACGGGCGCUAAUACCGCAUACGUCCUGAGGGAGAAAGUGGGGGAUCUUCGGACCUCACGCUAUCAGAUGAGCCUAGGUCGGAUUAGCUAGUUGGUGGGGUAAAGGCCUACCAAGGCGACGAUCCGUAACUGGUCUGAGAGGAUGAUCAGUCACACUGGAACUGAGACACGGUCCAGACUCCUACGGGAGGCAGCAGUGGGGAAUAUUGGACAAUGGGCGAAAGCCUGAUCCAGCCAUGCCGCGUGUGUGAAGAAGGUCUUCGGAUUGUAAAGCACUUUAAGUUGGGAGGAAGGGCAGUAAGUUAAUACCUUGCUGUUCUGACGUUACCAACAGAAUAAGCACCGGCUAACUUCGUG
RNAcentral lists this ribosomal RNA (484 nucleotides) under uncultured bacterium. RNAcentral describes it as "partial 16S ribosomal RNA". It matches the Rfam family "Bacterial small subunit ribosomal RNA", at positions 30 to 507 of the family's 1533-position model. The record is from RNAcentral.